GACUUAAAAUUAGCAAGUUAUGACCAUUUCAUUAUUUAGGUUUUUCUGACGAAAAACGCUAUAACCGGAGUUCUAUAUCUCUGAUAACCAUGAAAUUUAAACCGGAAGCUCACGUUAACAUGUACAAGAUCUUGCCAAAAUUUGGGAAUUUCUAGAGUUAAACUUGAGGUAGCUAAUUUCUUAAGGAAUUAAUUAAAAAUUAAUUUUUGAAAAAU
This 215-nucleotide long non-coding RNA is filed under the name Panax ginseng (ginseng). Its description in RNAcentral is "long non-coding RNA (PGIN_LNC017998)". Lineage: Eukaryota; Viridiplantae; Streptophyta; Magnoliopsida; Apiales; Araliaceae. The record is from RNAcentral.